Molecule: long non-coding RNA, 543 nt
Organism: Onychostoma macrolepis
Lineage: Eukaryota; Metazoa; Chordata; Actinopteri; Cypriniformes; Cyprinidae
Exons: 3
Source: RefSeq, a predicted model, not a curated record
AUUGAAAUUUCAGGCGGUACUUCACAGGAUCCCUGCACAAGGUCCCUGGGCUGAAUAAAUGUAGUUUCAGUCACUGGAACAUGACCACUCUGCUUAGGCUACAUACGGGCACUGACCGUCUCCAGGCAGCCGGGUGAAAUUGGCCCUCAAUGCUGUCUAUCUGAAGAGGAUACUGUUGCCAGCACCUCCUCAGGCUGAUACUUCUUCCCUUCCGUGGAGGCCAGGGACUGUCACUUUAGAGUGUGGCCUGCUCUCACUCCUUCUUCAGAGCUCUUCCUGUGGGGUUGGCAAAGCCUCUGAGAACAACACCUGAUGAGACACCUUCUCUGCCCCUCACUCUGCCUACAGAGGAACCACAGGGAAAAAGAUCUGGAAUGCCAAGUCGAGCCUAAAACUAUGCUUGUCUCUCGUACACAGCAUCCACGCUGUCCAGGUUGGCAGGCAAACCCCUCCAGAAGCGAUGGAUCUGAGCUGGCCUCAACGACACCAGGUGCUUCUCACGUGUCAGACGCCAAAAAUACUUCCCUGACAAGAAGUUUGACA